UGUCUCGGUUGCAUGUCGAUAAUUUCGGGUAAAUCGUAAAAGAUCCCGGAAACGUACAAUAAAUGCAAAUGAAAAUUACGCACUAGCUGCUUAAUAAAAACAAGCAGCCGAUCACGGUAGAUAAUCUGCCGGUCUUCCAGUGAUCGUCAUUGAGGCAGAGUAGUUGACCUUCAGUUCUCCUGGGAGUGUCGAUGAAAUUUUGGAGAUAGUUCUUUUAAAAUUUUGUCACUGGAAGCUUAAUUGAGCGAACUCAAAACAGUGAAUAAGCAUGUAGAGGCUGAUUCAUACGCUUUUUCGGACAGGGGUUCAACUCCCCUCAUCUCCAUUA
RNAcentral lists this transfer-messenger RNA (328 nucleotides) under Candidatus Delongbacteria bacterium. RNAcentral's name for it is "partial transfer-messenger RNA". It matches the Rfam family "transfer-messenger RNA". From Rfam's summary of the family: Bacterial tmRNA, also known as 10Sa RNA or SsrA, is named for its dual tRNA and mRNA-like properties. Its role is to liberate the mRNA from a stalled ribosome. The record is from RNAcentral. Lineage: Bacteria; Candidatus Delongiibacteriota.